GACGAACGCUGGCGGCGUGCUUAACACAUGCAAGUCGAACGGAGUGCCUAAGAAAGAGGAUUCGUCCAAUGGAUUAGGUUACUUAGUGGCGGACUGGUGAGUAACGCGUGAGGAACCUGCCUUCCAGAGGGGGACAACAGUUGGAAACGACUGCUAAUACCGCAUGAUACGUCGAAGCCGCAUGACUUUGACGUCAAAGAUUUAUCGCUGGAAGAUGGCCUCGCGUCUGAGUAGCUAGUUGGUGGGGUAACGGCCCACCAAGGCGACGAUCAGUAGCCGGACUGAGAGGUUGGCCGGCCACAUUGGGACUGAGAUACGGCCCAG
This 324-nucleotide ribosomal RNA is filed under the name uncultured bacterium. Its description in RNAcentral is "bacterial SSU rRNA". It matches the Rfam family "Bacterial small subunit ribosomal RNA", at positions 28 to 334 of the family's 1533-position model. The record is from RNAcentral.